AACGAACGCUGGCGGCAUGCCUAACACAUGCAAGUCGAACGAGACCUUCGGGUCUAGUGGCGCACGGGUGCGUAACGCGUGGGAACCUGCCCUUAGGUUCGGAAUAACUCCCCGAAAGGGGUGCUAAUACCGGAUAAUGUCUUCGGACCAAAGAUUUAUCGCCUUUGGAUGGGCCCGCGUUGGAUUAGCUAGUUGGUAGGGUAAAAGCCUACCAAGGCGACGAUCCAUAGCUGGUCUGAGAGGAUGAUCAGCCACACUGGGACUGAGACACGGCCCAGACCCCCACGGGAGGAGGCGGGGGGGAAUAUUGGACAAGGGGCGAAAGCCUGACCCAGCAAUGCCGGGGGAGUGAUGAAGGCUUUGGGGUUGAAAAGCUCUUUUACCCGGGAUGAUAAUGACAGUACCGGGAGAAAAAGCCCCGGCUAACUCCGU
Molecule: ribosomal RNA, 432 nt
Filed under: uncultured bacterium
Lineage: Bacteria
Description: partial 16S ribosomal RNA
Rfam family: Bacterial small subunit ribosomal RNA
Source: RNAcentral